RNAcentral lists this ribosomal RNA (220 nucleotides) under uncultured bacterium. Its description in RNAcentral is "partial 16S ribosomal RNA". It matches the Rfam family "Bacterial small subunit ribosomal RNA", at positions 57 to 305 of the family's 1533-position model. The record is from RNAcentral.
GCAAGUCGAGCGCGCCCUUCGGGGUGAGCGGCGGACGGGUGAGUAACGCGUGGGAACAUACCCUUCUCUACGGAAUAGCCUCGGGAAACUGAGAGUAAUACCGUAUACGCCCUACGGGGGAAAGAUUUAUCGGAGAAGGAUUGGCCCGCGUAAGAUUAGAUAGUUGGUGGGGUAAUGGCCUACCAAGUCUACGAUCUUUAGCUGGUUUUAGAGGAUGAUC